This 440-nucleotide ribosomal RNA is filed under the name uncultured bacterium. RNAcentral's name for it is "partial 16S ribosomal RNA". It matches the Rfam family "Bacterial small subunit ribosomal RNA", at positions 339 to 795 of the family's 1533-position model. The record is from RNAcentral.
CUACGGGAGGCUCCAGUGAGGAAUAUUGCACAAUGGGGGGAACCCUGAUGCAGCAACGCCGCGUGGAGGAUGACGCAUUUCGGUGUGUAAACUCCUUUUAUAUGUCAAGAAAAUGACGGUAGCAUAUGAAUAAGCACCGGCUAACUCCGUGCCAGCAGCCGGCGGUAAUACGGAGGGUGCAAGCGUUACUCGGAAUCACUGGGCGUAAAGGACGCGUAGGCGGGUUGGAAAGUCAGGUGUGAAAUCCUACAGCUUAACUGUAGAACUGCACUUGAAACUUCUAAUCUAGAGCAUGGGAGGGGGAGAUGGAAUUAGUGGUGUAGGGGUAAAAUCCGUAGAUAUCACUAGGAAUACCUAAAGCGAAGGCGAUCUCCUGGAACAUUACUGACGCUAAGGCGUGAAAGCGUGGGGAGCAAACAGGAUUAGAUACCCUGGUAGUC